This 253-nucleotide ribosomal RNA is filed under the name uncultured bacterium. RNAcentral describes it as "partial 16S ribosomal RNA". It matches the Rfam family "Bacterial small subunit ribosomal RNA", at positions 524 to 776 of the family's 1533-position model. The record is from RNAcentral.
UACAGAGACUGCAAGCGUUAUUCGGAUUCACUGGGCGUAAAGGGUGCGCAGGCGGCCAAGUGUGUGAGGCGUGAAAGCCUGGGGCUUAACUCCAGAAUUGCACCUCAAACUACUUGGCUAGAGCAUUGGAGAGGGUAGCAGAAUUCAUGGUGUAGCAGUGAAAUGCGUAGAUAUCAUGAGGAAUACCAGAGGCGAAGGCGGCUACCUGGACAAUUGCUGACGCUCAGGCACGAAAGCGUGGGGAGCAAACAGG